CGCGGAGUGGAGCAGUGGUAGCUCGUCAGGCUCAUAACCUGAAGGCCGGUGGUUCGAUCCCAUCCUCCGCAA
Molecule: transfer RNA, 72 nt
Filed under: Paludibacteraceae bacterium
Lineage: Bacteria; Pseudomonadati; Bacteroidota; Bacteroidia; Bacteroidales; Paludibacteraceae
Description: tRNA-Met
Rfam family: tRNA
About the family: Transfer RNA (tRNA) molecules are approximately 80 nucleotides in length. Their secondary structure includes four short double-helical elements and three loops (D, anti-codon, and T loops). Further hydrogen bonds mediate the characteristic L-shaped molecular structure. tRNAs have two regions of fundamental functional importance: the anti-codon, which is responsible for specific mRNA codon recognition, and the 3' end, to which the tRNAs corresponding amino acid is attached (by aminoacyl-tRNA synthetases). tRNAs cope with the degeneracy of the genetic code in two manners: having more than one tRNA (with a specific anti-codon) for a particular amino acid; and 'wobble' base-pairing, i.e. permitting non-standard base-pairing at the 3rd anti-codon position.
Source: RNAcentral